UAAUGGCUCCUUCACCAUCUUCCUGGCCUCAAAUUAUCCCCCCAAAAUACAGAAUUGUUGAUGAAUCGCGCUCCAAAAGAAACCGAUGUUCGUUUACAAUAUCACAACGGAAUGUAUUACAAUGUAUAACCGUCAUGCCUCAAAACUGGGAGAAAGAAGCAAGUCAUUCACCCGCCAUUUGUUCCUCAAGACCGUAACACAACGACACGCGGAUAAUUGCCGGUGGUGGCUGGUCCACUCCAGGAGUCUGAGGUGCGGGAGGUUCCUCCGCCCCUUUGGACAUCGAGGGGGCCCCGGCGUAUGCAGUUCGAGCCAUACUGGACUCGAGGAGUCUAGCGAGGGGCCUUCAGUACCUCGUGGAGUGGGAGGGGUACGGUCCGGAGGAGAGAUGCUGGGUGCCGGUGGAGGACGUAUUGGACCUGUCGAUACUGCAGGAGUUCCCCUGUCUCCAUCCGGGUCACCCUACGCCUCAUCCUCCGGGUCGUCCCCGAGGCCGGUGUCGGCGCGCGGCUCAAGGAGGGUUACUGUCAGUAAGGGUCACUGGGUUACUGUCGGUAACCCAGUGACCCUCACUGGGUUACUGUCGGUCCCUCUCCUUGUUUGGGUGGCGCUCGACGUCACUGGUAUUCUAGCCAUCGCCGAACCACUUUUCAUUUUCCAUUUGUUUUGUCUUUGUUUUUUUAACACCUGGUUUCAAUUCCCCCAUUACAGAUGCAGUAUUUAACCCUCUGUUUCACACAUGUAUGUGUGCAUGUUUGUUCUAUGUUGAAGACUGUAUCUGACGGCUGGUAUUUUGUUGCCGGGAUUUGUAUCUACGCCCGUUUAUUCGUGGUACCGGUAUAUUUCACAGAACGUUGUAUUGUUUCUAUACCCAUGUUUUUUUGUGUAUUAAAUACCUUGCCCACGCA
Molecule: long non-coding RNA, 908 nt
Organism: Oncorhynchus gorbuscha (pink salmon)
Lineage: Eukaryota; Metazoa; Chordata; Actinopteri; Salmoniformes; Salmonidae
Exons: 2
Source: RefSeq, a predicted model, not a curated record